Molecule: non-coding RNA, 72 nt
Organism: Trichonephila clavipes
Lineage: Eukaryota; Metazoa; Arthropoda; Arachnida; Araneae; Nephilidae
Source: the annotation of a GenBank genome assembly
UCCCUGUAGCGCAAUGAAUAGCUUGUUGGACUUAUAGUCUAAAGAUCGUGGGUUCGAAACCCACCUGGAAAG